GCCUACGGGUGGCUGCAGUGGGGAAUUUUGGACAAUGGGGGCAACCCUGAUCCAGCCAUGCCGCGUGCGGGAAGAAGGCCUUCGGGUUGUAAACCGCUUUUAGCCGGAAAGAAAAGGCGUCCCCUAAUACGGGGCGUUCUUGACGGUACCGGCGGAAUAAGCACCGGCUAACUACGUGCCAGCAGCCGCGGUAAUACGUAGGGUGCGAGCGUUAAUCGGAAUUACUGGGCGUAAAGCGUGCGCAGGCGGUUCGUUGUGUCUGAUGUGAAAGCCCCGGGCUCAACCUGGGAACUGCAUUGGAAACUGGCGGACUUGAGUGUGGCAGAGGGGGGUGGAAUUCCGCGUGUAGCAGUGAAAUGCGUAGAGAUGCGGAGGAACACCGAUGGCGAAGGCAGCCCCCUGGGCCAACACUGACGCUCAGGCACGAAAGCGUGGGGAGCAAACAGGAUUAGAUACCCGGGUAGUCCGG
This 469-nucleotide ribosomal RNA is filed under the name uncultured bacterium. Its description in RNAcentral is "bacterial SSU rRNA". It matches the Rfam family "Bacterial small subunit ribosomal RNA", at positions 337 to 798 of the family's 1533-position model. The record is from RNAcentral.